This 206-nucleotide ribosomal RNA is filed under the name Listeria monocytogenes. RNAcentral's name for it is "partial 16S ribosomal RNA". It matches the Rfam family "Bacterial small subunit ribosomal RNA", at positions 1337 to 1533 of the family's 1533-position model. The record is from RNAcentral. Lineage: Bacteria; Bacillati; Bacillota; Bacilli; Caryophanales; Listeriaceae.
AGUAAUCGUGGAUCAGCAUGCCACGGUGAAUACGUUCCCGGGCCUUGUACACACCGCCCGUCACACCACGAGAGUUUGUAACACCCGAAGUCGGUAGGGUAACCUUUAUGGAGCCAGCCGCCGAAGGUGGGACAGAUAAUUGGGGUGAAGUCGUAACAAGGUAGCCGUAUCGGAAGGUGCGGCUGGAUCACCUCCUUUCUAAGGAA